UACGUAGGGCGCAAGCGUUAUCCGGAAUUAUUGGGCGUAAGGAGCUCGUAGGCGGUUUGUCGCGUCUGCCGUGAAAGUCCGGGGCUCAACUCCGGAUCUGCGGUGGGUACGGGCAGACUAGAGUGAUGUAGGGGAGACUGGAAUUCCUGGUGUAGCGGUGAAAUGCGCAGAUAUCAGGAGGAACACCGAUGGCGAAGGCAGGUCUCUGGGCAUUAACUGACGCUGAGGAGCGAAAGCAUGGGGAGCGAACAGG
RNAcentral lists this ribosomal RNA (253 nucleotides) under uncultured bacterium. Its description in RNAcentral is "partial 16S ribosomal RNA". It matches the Rfam family "Bacterial small subunit ribosomal RNA", at positions 524 to 776 of the family's 1533-position model. The record is from RNAcentral.